GUCUACGGCUAUACCACCCUGAAUGCGCCCGAUCUCGUCUGAUCUCAGAAGCUAAGCAGGGUUGGGCCUGGUUAGUACGUGGAUGGGAGAAAAAUCUUACUCAUAGCCC
This 109-nucleotide ribosomal RNA is filed under the name Dipodomys ordii (Ord's kangaroo rat). The record is from RNAcentral. Lineage: Eukaryota; Metazoa; Chordata; Mammalia; Rodentia; Heteromyidae.